ACAAGCUUUUAUAGAACUCUGUUCC
RNAcentral lists this non-coding RNA (25 nucleotides) under Cricetulus griseus (Chinese hamster). The record is from RNAcentral. Lineage: Eukaryota; Metazoa; Chordata; Mammalia; Rodentia; Cricetidae.